CUUGGCGACCAUAGCGUUUUGGACCCACCUGACUCCAUCCCGAACUCAGAAGUGAAACGAA
RNAcentral lists this ribosomal RNA (61 nucleotides) under Vibrio cholerae. Lineage: Bacteria; Pseudomonadati; Pseudomonadota; Gammaproteobacteria; Vibrionales; Vibrionaceae. The record is from RNAcentral.